GAUGAACGCUGGCGGCGUGCUUAACACAUGCAAGUCGAACGAGAAAGCACCUUCGGGUGUGAGUAGAGUGGCGAACGGGUGAGUAACACGUGAGCAACCUGCCUCUCACUUCGGAAUAACUCAGGGAAACCUGUGCUAAUACCGGAUACUCCGUACAUUCCGCAUGCUAUGUACGGGAAAGCCUUGUGCGGUGAGAGAUGGGCUCGCGGCCCAUUAGGUAGUUGGUGGGGUAACGGCCUACCAAGCCGACGAUGGGUAGCCGGGUUGAGAGACCGACCGGCCACAUUGGGACUGAGACACGGCCCAGACUCCUACGGGAGGCAGCAGUGGGGAAUUUUGCGCAAUGGGGGAAACCCUGACGCAGCAACGCCGCGUGCGGGAUGAAGGCCUUCGGGUUGUAAACCGCUUUCAGUAGGGAAGAAAAUGACGGUACCUACAGAAGAAGCUCCGGC
This 452-nucleotide ribosomal RNA is filed under the name uncultured bacterium. Its description in RNAcentral is "bacterial SSU rRNA". It matches the Rfam family "Bacterial small subunit ribosomal RNA", at positions 28 to 497 of the family's 1533-position model. The record is from RNAcentral.